RNAcentral lists this long non-coding RNA (449 nucleotides) under Ricinus communis (castor bean). Its description in RNAcentral is "long non-coding RNA (RCOM_LNC000313)". The record is from RNAcentral. Lineage: Eukaryota; Viridiplantae; Streptophyta; Magnoliopsida; Malpighiales; Euphorbiaceae.
GAAAAGGGUAAAGAGGUAAAAAUUUUAAGAAAGAAAGAUUAGGACCUGCCCUGGUCGAGCAUCGCUCUCUGGGCUUAGUAGAGUGUGGUUGCCGGAGUAAAGGUCCCUGGUCGAGCAUUGCUCUCUAGGCGCCGGCUUAUUUGGAAAUUUAAGUGACCAGACUGGAGGUAAGGUCCCUGGUCGAGCUAAGCUCUCUGGGCGCCAGUCUUAUUGGAUUAAAAGAGCCGAAUGGCUACUAGAUUUCUUAUUUGGAUAUUUAAGUGACCAGACUGGAGGUAAGGUCCCUGGUCGAGCAUUGCUCUCGGGGCGCCAGUCUUAUUGGAUUAAGAGGGCCGAAUGGCUACUAGAUUUCUUAUUUGGAUAUUUAAGUGACCAGACUGGAGGUAAGGUCCCUGGUCGAGCAUUGCUCUCGGGGCGCCAGUCUUAUUGGAUUAAGAGAGUCGAAUGGC